GUAGUUAGCCGGGGCUUCCUCCUUGGGUACCGUCACUUUCUUCGUCCCCAAGGACAGAGGUUUACAAUCCGAAAACCUUCAUCCCUCACGCGGCGUUGCUGCAUCAGAGUUUCCUCCAUUGUGCAAUAUUCCCCACUGCUGCCUCCCGUAGGAGUCUGGACCGUGUCUCAGUUCCAGUGUGGCCGAUCAGCCUCUCAGCUCGGCUACCCAUCGCGGACUUGGUGGGCCGUUACCCCGCCAACUAUCUAAUGGGACGCGAGCCCCUCCCUUUGCGGAUUGCUCCUUUGACCUCAGAGCGAUGCCACUCCGUGGUCUUAUGCGGUAUUAGCAUCUGUUUCCAAAUGUUAUCCCCCUCAAAGGGUCAGGUUGCUCACGCGUUACUCACCCGUUCGCCACUCGGUACAAAACCGAAUCUUGUACCCCGUUGACUUGCAUGUGUUAGGCACGCCGCCAGCGUUCGUCCUGAGCCAUAAUCAAACUCUGA
This 484-nucleotide ribosomal RNA is filed under the name uncultured bacterium. RNAcentral describes it as "partial 16S ribosomal RNA". The record is from RNAcentral.